UACGUAGGGCGCAAGCGUUAUCCGGAAUUAUUGGGCGUAAAGAGCUCGUAGGCGGUUUGUCGCGUCUGCCGUGAAAGUCCGGGGCUUAACUCCGGAUCUGCGGUGGGUACGGGCAGACUAGAGUGCAGUAGGGGAGACUGGAAUUCCUGGUGUAGCGGUGAAAUGCGCAGAUAUCAGGAGGAACACCGAUGGCGAAGGCAGGUCUCUGGGCUGUAACUGACGCUGAGGAGCGAAAGCAUGGGGAGCAAACAGG
Molecule: ribosomal RNA, 253 nt
Filed under: uncultured bacterium
Lineage: Bacteria
Description: partial 16S ribosomal RNA
Rfam family: Bacterial small subunit ribosomal RNA
Source: RNAcentral